UCAGCUUAGAUCAGGGCCUUUUUCCUUAUAUUACUUGAAGCAGCCCUGUUAUAGGAUCUAGGGAUUGAUUCUAAUCACCAAGAAAAUUAAGAAUCUCUUCUUGAUUUUCUUUUUCUCUCUAAAGCCUCUCUCUCAGAUCUCUAUCUGGAGGUGGAACAGGGGUGUGGAGAUGGAAGGAAAAAGGAGUAGAGGGUGUGGAACAUUGGCUUCUGGCA
This 215-nucleotide long non-coding RNA is filed under the name Elaeis guineensis (African oil palm). Its description in RNAcentral is "long non-coding RNA (EGUI_LNC034510)". The record is from RNAcentral. Lineage: Eukaryota; Viridiplantae; Streptophyta; Magnoliopsida; Arecales; Arecaceae.